AUAAAAUAAAACAUGAUUUAAGAUACUUGUUUGCUUGUGACAUUUGUUUUAAUAUGCACCACACAAGGGUGCUAUUUUCACAAAUGAUACAUUUCAGAGUUGGUAUAGCUGUUGUUUGGCAGUCAUGAUGCAAUCAUGGCACAGAUGAUGUAAUAAUGGGGCUUCUGAGUUGGUCUGAGGCUGCACUGGCUCAGGCCCUCAUUCGUUACUCAGUUACGAUUGGAUACACAUCUCUGGCCGCCAAAGAGAAGGACCCAGAGCUGUUUCUCAUAGGAACUUCAUUAUCUGAAAAUGGUCUGCGUUGAUAUUGGUGUGGAGCACUGCAAACACCCAACCUGGUCAAGGAUUGGGAUGGAAAUCACACCCGAUGAACUGAGAAAGGUGGUUGAGAGCAAGGAGUUUGACACCUCCUUCUUGGACAUGUCCCUGCCCAAUGUCAUCUGCAUGAUCAUGGCCCUCAGCGUGGCCUUUCUAGUCAUCUCCAUGAUUUGCCUGUGGAUCAGCAGGAAGAAGAGCCCUGGUCAGGGCAAAGAAGGAUUUCUGCAGUGCAAAGACAUGCAGAAGCUGUGCCACGGAUUUGAGCUGCAGGAGCAGGUCCUACUCAAGAUGGAUAGCAUGGAACAGCGCAUUGCUGCCCUAGAAGGUUUCCUCAGGUCCAUGUGGAGGAGGAGUUCCAGAGGCAACGGCACGCAGGAGGCUGCUGACAAGAACACAGAUGCCCUGGGCUUCUCCAAUGGCUCCGACUAAUAUCCGAUUGACCUCAACACCUAAAGACCUGGUUUAUGGACACUUUAAUGGUUACUGAUUUUUUAUUUCUGUUCUAUGGACACUAUUUUAUGGACACGUUAGUGCAUUUGGUAAAAGAAAAGGCAUUUUAAAAGCGUUUCAAAAGAAAAUGUGUGAAAUUGCAUCAAUUGUUGAACUUUUAUUUGAGGUCAUAGACUAUGCUUCUAAACCAAGGAGAAACGCUUGAUAUAAAACCUUAGAAAAUAGGAAAUAAGGUAAAUAAAGAUUUAUAACUCACAUCAAAUAGGCCUAAUGAUAUUGAGGUUUACAGGAAAUGUUUGAGUUUGGCUGUGUUUCCCAAAGAUGUGAGAGAGUAUGAUUUCCAAAUUAAGUGACAUACACUCAGUGUACUAAACAUUAGGAACACCUGCUCUUUCCAUAACAUAGACUGACCAGGUGAAUCCAGGUGAAAACUAUGAUGCCUUAUUGACGUCACCAGUUAAAUGUUUUUAUUUAAUUUUAAUUUAACCUUAAUUUAACUAGGCAAGUCAGUUAAGAAAAAUUCUUAUUUACAUUGAAAGCCUACACCGGCCAAACCCAGACAAUGCUGGGCCAAUUGUGCACUGUCCUAUGGGACUCCCAAUCACGGCCGGUUGUGAUACAGCCUGGAUUCGAACCAGGGUAACUGUAGUGACACUUCAAUCACUGAGACUGCUGUGCCACUCGGGAGCCCCAAAUCCACUUCAAUCGGUGUAAAUGAAGGGGAGGAGACAGUUGCUUGACAGCCUUGAGUCAUUAUCGAGACAUGGAUUGUGCAUGUGUGCCAUGCAGAGGGUGAAUGGGCAAGACAAAAUAUUUAAUGGUAGAAUCUGCAAAGGGCAGCAGCAGCUGGAUGAGGAGGGUUGGGAACAGGUUUUUUUUCUAUCUUGAUCUGUGGCUCCCUCAAGUCAUUUGUGUGUCUUAAUUGUUUCAUCACAGUGUGCUUAAAGCAUCAAACAGGCUCAGUAGCCUACAUAUAGAUGAUUUUAUUAAAACAUGGGGUGAGCCUAUAUAGGAAAAAAUACACUUUUUAAGAUUUCAACCAAUCUAUUGGUCAGAAGACUACUUUUGGUCGUCCAAUAUGUUUUUUUUUGUCAGAGACAGCCCUAGUCAGUACAUAGAAUACCAAGAAGACAACAAUCUUCAUCAAGUCAUGCCGAUGAGUUGUCCGCAGUAGCACAUAGUGAAAAAUGUGCUGGUGACAUGGAAAAAUACUGCUGAAAUGUUUAAUAUAAUUUAAAUGCAUUUCUAAUAUAUCAUCUUGUGACUUACCCCAUGGAGAGAGUCCCCAGCUGACAGCCCAACCUAACAAGGAGACCCUGGUUCCUAUCAUCAAGAAGCAUGUGGAGUGUCAGAGUAUGGUAGUCAGUGAUGAGUGGAGACAUGUGAAGGUCAAUGAAAGUCAGAAUUAUGUAGACCCGAGUACAGGUUUUGCAUAUCGAGAGGGCGUGGCAGACUUGCAAGAAGGAAGUUUGGAGUCUGCGUGGAAAACGAUCAGAUAAGUCCCUAAAGAGGCAACUCUGUUUCAUCGAGUGCACAUACUGUUUGGACCGGAAACACAAACAUGGAGUCCUUGUUAGAAGUCCUUGGAAGUCCUUGGUUUUUGACAGCACAAAGAAUGUGAAAAACUGAGGCUGUGAUCAAUAUGGUUGCGACCAUUUGAAACGCAAAAUGCACAAACCAUACACACACAAUCGCUCUCUUAGUCACCAUGAUCACACCGGUCCAGUCUUCAACUGGUCAUUCAGUACAAUAGGCGUACUGUUUCCUUUGAAUUCAACGUUGCACACCAUUCUGUCAAACUGAGUUCACCCCUGGCAACAUUAUGCACAGAAAAUAUGGUGGGUGAUAGGCAGGUAAAGGUCACAGAAAUGAAGAGAAAGGGGGAGUUACUUCCCUUCCAUCUAAGAUAAGCAGUCUAGGGCACUGCAAGAGGCGUGACUACAAUCCCUGGUUCAAAUCCAGGCUGUAUCACAUCUGGCCGUGAUUGGGAGUUCCAUAGGGCGGCGCACAAUUGGCCCAGCGUCGUCCAGUGUUUGGCCGGGAUAGGCCGUCAUUGUAAAUAAUAAUUUGUUCUUAACUGACUUGCCUAGUUAAAUAAAGAUUAAAUAAAUAAUUAAAAAAGCAGACAAAUAUGUUUUCCUUGUUGCAGGACAACAGUACUUAAUUAUAAAAACAGGUAAACUAUACCUGUGUAAACUUGAUGAUGUUUUACACUCCGUUAUGGACGGUCCCCAUUGAGAAACGGAUGCCACAUCAUUUUAAAAAAUUCAAACUUUGUGUCGUCUUUAGUGCAACCAGAAUCCGUCAAUAGAACUGAAAGUUACCAAAUCGAAGAACAAGAUGAAAAUAUGUGGUUUUAUGCAAUGGCUUUAUGGGAUAGCUAGCGACUUUGUUUCUGAUUAUAAUUAUGAGGUGGAGUUCGCUAGCAAGAGCAUCUUCAGCCUAGCUUUUAACUUGCAAAAAAGCUGGAGAAACAAAUGAAGGAAAAAGUAACUAAACGCAACAUGUUUUAUUAUCACGUGAAACAAUAUGUUUCUCCUGUCUUGAAUGAAAAGGUCGCUUUUGCAUUCUCCCAAAAUAAAUGCGAUCUCUGACGAAAUGCUUGUCU
Molecule: long non-coding RNA, 3376 nt
Organism: Oncorhynchus kisutch (coho salmon)
Lineage: Eukaryota; Metazoa; Chordata; Actinopteri; Salmoniformes; Salmonidae
Source: Ensembl